RNAcentral lists this transfer RNA (90 nucleotides) under Cyrtodactylus ywanganensis. Its description in RNAcentral is "tRNA-Cys". The record is from RNAcentral. Lineage: Eukaryota; Metazoa; Chordata; Lepidosauria; Squamata; Gekkonidae.
GCCCCGUAGCGAGUACACCAAAAUGCAACCUUGGAAACGCACCCUAAAAGGUGCCGGGGCUUCUCCCGUUUUAAGCGAGACGGGAGAAGA